This 582-nucleotide long non-coding RNA is filed under the name Manihot esculenta (cassava). RNAcentral describes it as "long non-coding RNA (MESC_LNC008153)". Lineage: Eukaryota; Viridiplantae; Streptophyta; Magnoliopsida; Malpighiales; Euphorbiaceae. The record is from RNAcentral.
ACGGAACUAAUUAAUAGAUUAAGCGAAUAAAUUUAUAUUCAAAUAAUUGCAUUUUACAAAUCUACAAAUAUACAAUAUAGAAAGAAUUUUGAAAAUUAAUGAUUUUACAUUAACAAUAAAUCUACAGCAUACAUCAGUGGUAAAAGUAUCAAAUGAGCAGAAAUGGCUGAUAGAAACUUGAGAGAGAGCAAUAUAGCAGCAUAUACUCACAAAUCUUUGUAAUUUGAUAAUCGUGUGAUGAUUGAUGGGAUUGGAGACUCAAUUCAUCGAUAAGUAGAAAAAGAACAGGAGGAGCCAAGGAGUAUUGACCAUUUUAAAUGGGGACUGAGAAGUGAUAGAUAAAAGAGUUAGGGUGGGAGACGAUUGAUCGAAAUGGGUAGAGAUAAUAUCUGGUUGAAAGAAAGAAAAAGGAGAAGAAGAACAAGAAAGUUGGAGGCUUCAGUGGGGAAUCUAUGGUGAAGAAAGGAAGAGAAAAAGAAGAAGAAUGCCUUUGGUGGGAGCAUUAUGGCCAAAAGUAAGAAAGAAGGAGGCUGUUAUUGCAGCCGUUUUAGAUAUGUCUUUAAGGCUAGAGUUUAAUUGAGA